Molecule: long non-coding RNA, 291 nt
Filed under: Carica papaya (papaya)
Lineage: Eukaryota; Viridiplantae; Streptophyta; Magnoliopsida; Brassicales; Caricaceae
Description: long non-coding RNA (CPAP_LNC006187)
Source: RNAcentral
CUUCAAGAUCCUUGGGGUGAUUCCCGAACAGAAAGUCAUCCUUGCUACUUACAUCUUAGUGGGAGAAGUAGACCACUAGUGGCAACUCAAACAGACCACCCUGUCCUUUUCAGUCACUUGAGAACAGUUCCUGAUGGCCUUUCGUACAGAGUACCUCCCUGAGCAUCUCCGACAUUUGAAGGAGAUAGAGUUUGCACACUUGGUCCAGGGGGACAUGACUGUAUCUAAAUAUGCUUGUAAGUUCUUAGAGUUUGGUCGAUAUUCCCCUAAGAGCAUGAUGGAUGAAGGCAG